This 200-nucleotide ribosomal RNA is filed under the name uncultured bacterium. RNAcentral's name for it is "partial 16S ribosomal RNA". It matches the Rfam family "Bacterial small subunit ribosomal RNA", at positions 8 to 212 of the family's 1533-position model. The record is from RNAcentral.
AGAGUUUGAUCCUGGCUCAGGACGAACGCUGGCGGCGUGCUUAACACAUGCAAGUCGAGCGGAAAGGCCCUUCGGGGUACUCGAGCGGCGAACGGGUGAGUAACACGUGAGGAACCUGCUUAGCUCUGGGAUAGCUUCGGGAAACCGGAAUUAAUACCAGAUACGACUGCGACCGGCAUCGGUCGCGGUGGAAAGAUUUA